UUGCACGCUGGCGGCAUGCCUUACACAUGCAAGUCGAACGGCAGCACGGGUGCUUGCACCUGGUGGCGAGUGGCGAACGGGUGAGUAAUACAUCGGAACAUGUCCUGUAGUGGGGGAUAGCCCGGCGAAAGCCGGAUUAAUACCGCAUACGAUCUACGGAUGAAAGCGGGGGACCUUCGGGCCUCGCGCUAUAGGGUUGGCCGAUGGCUGAUUAGCUAGUUGGUGGGGUAAAGGCCUACCAAGGCGACGAUCAGUAGCUGGUCUGAGAGGACGACCAGCCACACUGGGACUGAGGCACGGCCCAGACUCCUACGGGAGGCAGCAGUGGGGAAUUUUGGACAAUGGGCGAAAGCCUGAUCCAGCAAUGCCGCGUGUGUGAAGAAGGCCUUCGGGUUGUAAAGCACUUUUGUCCGGAAAGAAAUCCUUGGCCCUAAUACGGUCGGGGGAUGACGGUACCGGAAGAAUAAGCACCGGCUAACUACGUG
RNAcentral lists this ribosomal RNA (485 nucleotides) under uncultured bacterium. Its description in RNAcentral is "partial 16S ribosomal RNA". It matches the Rfam family "Bacterial small subunit ribosomal RNA", at positions 30 to 507 of the family's 1533-position model. The record is from RNAcentral.